CCUACGGGUGGCUGCAGUGGGGAAUAUUGGGCAAUGGGCGCAAGCCUGACCCAGCAACGCCGCGUGAAGGAAGAAGGCUUUCGGGUUGUAAACUUCUUUUAAGGGGGACGAACAAAUGACGGUACCCCUUGAAUAAGCCACGGCUAACUACGUGCCAGCAGCCGCAGUAAUACGUAGGUGGCAAGCGUUAUCCGGAUUUAUUGGGUGUAAGGGGCGUGUAGGCGGGAGCGCAAGUCAGAUGUGAAAACUCAGGGCUCAACCCUGAGCCUGCAUUUGAAACUGUGUUUCUUGAGUGUUGGAGAGGCAAUCGGAAUUCCAGGUGUAGCGGUGAAAUGCGUAGAUAUACGGAGGAACACCAGUGGCGAAGGCGGAUUGCUGGACAGUAACUGACGCUGAGGCGCGAAAGCGUGGGGAGCAAACAGGAUUAGAUACCCGUGUAGUC
Molecule: ribosomal RNA, 442 nt
Filed under: uncultured bacterium
Lineage: Bacteria
Description: partial 16S ribosomal RNA
Rfam family: Bacterial small subunit ribosomal RNA
Source: RNAcentral